Molecule: small RNA, 90 nt
Filed under: Microcebus murinus (gray mouse lemur)
Lineage: Eukaryota; Metazoa; Chordata; Mammalia; Primates; Cheirogaleidae
Description: Y RNA (ENSMICG00000025187.3)
Source: RNAcentral
GCCCGGCCAGAAUUAAAGUUUUCAAAGUUAUUUAUUAAAAAAGAAACUUUUUCCUUCUGCACUCCUACUGCUUCACUUGACUGGGCUCAA